This 69-nucleotide transfer RNA is filed under the name Gymnopis multiplicata. RNAcentral describes it as "tRNA-Pro". It matches the Rfam family "tRNA". Rfam says of the family: Transfer RNA (tRNA) molecules are approximately 80 nucleotides in length. Their secondary structure includes four short double-helical elements and three loops (D, anti-codon, and T loops). The record is from RNAcentral. Lineage: Eukaryota; Metazoa; Chordata; Amphibia; Gymnophiona; Dermophiidae.
CAGGACAUAGUUAAAAAUAUAAUAUUGGCUUUGGGUGUCAAAGAUAGAGAUGAAAAUUUCUUUUUCUGA